This 776-nucleotide ribosomal RNA is filed under the name uncultured Neocallimastigales. RNAcentral's name for it is "partial large subunit ribosomal RNA". It matches the Rfam family "Eukaryotic large subunit ribosomal RNA", at positions 19 to 646 of the family's 3401-position model. Lineage: Eukaryota; Fungi; Neocallimastigomycota; Neocallimastigomycetes; Neocallimastigales. The record is from RNAcentral.
CGAGCACGCGCGUGUGGCAUAUCAAUAAGCGGAGGAAAAGAAACUAACAAGGAUUCCCUUAGUAACGGCGAGUGAAGCGGGAAGAGCUCAAAUUUGAAAUCUUCAAGGUUCUACCUUGACGAAUUGUAGUUUAUAGAAGUGUUUUCUGUUAGUGGAGUGGCAAAAGUUCUUUGGAAUAGGACAUCACAGAGGGUGAGAAUCCCGUAUUUGGUCAUUCCUCCUAGCGUUGUGAUACACUUUCAACGAGUCGGAUUGUUUGGGAAUGCAGUCCAAAAUGGGUGGUAAAUUUCAUCUAAAGCUAAAUAUUGGCGAGAGACCGAUAGCGAACAAGUACCGUGAGGGAAAGAUGAAAAGAACUUUGAAAAGAGAGUUAAACAGUACGUGAAAUUGUCAAAAGGGAAGCGUUUGACACCAGUGUUGUUUUUCCGAAAAUCAAUUACGAAUGUUUUGUUUUUGAGGAGUUAUGACUUCAUCGGCUUGCUCCUUUCUUUACGAAGCUUUCUUAAUGCACUUUUCGGUUAACAAGUCAACAUCAAUUUCUUUUGUUGUAAAAGGGUAUGAGGAAGGUGGCUUUCUUUUCGGAGAAAGUGUUUAUAGCCUUGUGCCUCUGCAAUCGGAGAGAUUGAGGUCUGCAGCGUAGAUCCUUCGGGGUUAGAUACGUUUGUGCUAAGUUAUAGCCUUGUAUAGACAACUUGUUGACUAUAGCUCUAGUCAUGUAGCUUACUCGCAUGACGUAUUUUACCUACGCUUAGGAUGUUGAUGUGAUACUGCGAGCA